This 440-nucleotide ribosomal RNA is filed under the name uncultured bacterium. RNAcentral's name for it is "partial 16S ribosomal RNA". It matches the Rfam family "Bacterial small subunit ribosomal RNA", at positions 338 to 795 of the family's 1533-position model. The record is from RNAcentral.
CCUACGGGAGGCAGCAGUAGGGAAUAUUGCUCAAUGGGGGAAACCCUGAAGCAGCAACGCCGCGUGGAGGAUGAAGGUUUUCGGAUUGUAAACUCCUUUUGUUAGAGAAGAUAAUGACGGUAUCCAACGAAUAAGCACCGGCUAACGCCGUGCCAGCAGCCGCGGUAAUACGGAGGGUGCAAGCGUUACUCGGAAUCACUGGGGGUAAAGAGGGCGUAGGCGGGAUAGCAAGUCAGAUGUGAAAUCCUAUGGCUUAACCAUAGAACUGCAUUUGAAACUGUUAUUCUAGAGUAUGGGAGAGGUAGGUGGAAUUCUUGGUGUAGGGGUGAAAUCCGUAGAGAUCAAGAGGAAUACUCAUUGCGAAGGCGACCUGCUAGAACAUAACUGACGCUGAUGCGCGAAAGCGUGGGGAGCAAACAGGAUUAGAUACCCGUGUAGUC